RNAcentral lists this ribosomal RNA (253 nucleotides) under uncultured bacterium. RNAcentral describes it as "partial 16S ribosomal RNA". It matches the Rfam family "Bacterial small subunit ribosomal RNA", at positions 524 to 776 of the family's 1533-position model. The record is from RNAcentral.
UACGGGGGGGGCAAGCGUUGUUCGGAAUUACUGGGCGUAAAGGGCUCGUAGGCGGCCAACUAAGUCAUACGUGAAAUCCCUCGGCCUAACCGGGGAACUGCGUAUGAUACUGGAUAGCUUGAGUUCGGGAGAGGAUAGCGGAAUUCCCAGUGUAGAGGUGAAAUUCGUAGAUAUUGGGAAGAACACCGGUGGCGAAGGCGGCUAUCUGGACGAGGACUGACGCUGAGAUGCGAAAGCGUGGGGAGCAAACAGG